GUGCUCACUUCAGCAGCAUAUAUACUAAAACUGGAAAGAUAAAGAUAAUAUUAGCAUGGCACCUGCACAAGGAUGACAUGCAAAUUCAUGAAGAGUUCCAUAUUAAA
This 107-nucleotide small nuclear RNA is filed under the name Piliocolobus tephrosceles (Ugandan red Colobus). The record is from RNAcentral. Lineage: Eukaryota; Metazoa; Chordata; Mammalia; Primates; Cercopithecidae.